This 2479-nucleotide long non-coding RNA is filed under the name Mytilus galloprovincialis (Mediterranean mussel). Lineage: Eukaryota; Metazoa; Mollusca; Bivalvia; Mytilida; Mytilidae. The record is from RNAcentral.
AACAGAUUUAAAGAUCAUGGCUGUUUAGCACUUGGUCAGAUAUAUUUUAAAUUCAGUUUCAGAAAUUUAUGCAUUCUGAGUAAUAUUUUUAAAGCCUAUACUAGAAUGUUGUAAUUAACAACAUUGGAAACAGUUAAUAUCAAACCAUUUGUGUAACAUUGAUUUUGAAUUGCAACAACAUUAGUGUCAAGAGAUUUUGAAUGUGGAGUUAUAUUACUUUUAAUGCAAGAUCCAUCUAAAACUAAAUAUGUCAGAAACAAAGUAUUCAAAAUGCAUUAUUCAGCCCUCUUUUACUUUAUUCAAAACAUUAAAACACUAAUUUUCAAUUUUUUUUGUUGGUUUAAAAGUACUGCUUCAUUUUAGUAUUUAACAUGAUGCUUCUUGGCUGCCAUUUCAACCAGUUCAGAAUGUGACCUCUCGUCCUUAUCUGAUUUUGUUGUUCUAUAAAACAAAUGAAAAAAAUCAAUAGUAUAGCUAAACAAUAAAAAAAAAAACCAUUGCAUAAAGCUUGCAUCAGGUGUAUAAAAUAAAGCAUUUUAGACACCCAUAGGUGAAGCUUAAUUUUGUAAAAUGGGACAAGUUGUUCCUCGGUUUCACUGUUUAUAAAUGAUAUGUAACAGCUUGCAUUUUUCUGGUUAUUUGUUAUACAUAUUGAAAUAAUAUGCCUUCAAAUUAUGCAUUUGACAUUUUUAACCAUAUUUGAUUGAAAAAAAUACAGACAUGUGUUUUCAGUUUUUAAUAUGCUCAGCCUAUGUUUUCCUGUCUGUGCAUCCUUCUGUCCGUCCAUUUGUCCAUUAGUCUGUCCCACUUCAGGUUUUAAAUUUUUGGUUCAGGUAGUAUAACAUUAAGUUGUGCUCACCUUAUCUGAAAACUUAAGUACAUGUUCUGGGUAAUACAUGUAUGUUCAUUGUAUUGUUAACAUUUUAAAUGAUGUGAUGAUUUACACUUGACCCUAAUUUCAGGGUUCACUGAAAAAAGAAAUGUUAAAAUGUGAGGGGAGCAUUUCCUAUAGACACAUAUUCUUGCUUUUUUUAUUGACUCGCAUCGUCUUUUUUGCAGAACAUUGUUAUUUACGAGGAAAUUAAAUUUAAAUAGAUUAUAUUUUUAAAAUAAACUGUGAUAUAUUAAAUGUUUGUGAUUUUUUAACAACAACAAAAAAAUAGCUUUUUGAAAUAUAGUUUGCAGUAGAUAAAGUAUAAGAUAUUUAAAAAUGUGUCUUUUUUAAUUUCUGAUUAUUCCACUGAACAAGGAACUUGCAAUUGCCAUGCAUACUUAUAGUUUCGUUUGAACUGUGUUCAUUUUGUAAAUUAAUUUGUGAAUUUGAUUUCACUCAACAUUACCUGAAAAUAAAGCAGGUUAAGUACAUAUACAUGUAAUUAUAAACCUAAAUAGAAACCAUGAAUUGAAAAGAAUAUUUUUUUGUUUCAAGUUGCCACAUCAGUGCCGGAAAGUUUUAUCAUGGUAACCUUCAGAAAAUUGGGAAAAAAAUGUUUUUGAAUAUUAGUUUCAGAGAUUUUUUUAAGGCGCCAACAAAUUUUCAAUAGCUAGUUGAUUUCAUAAAACUUUUUUGGAAAUAUUUUUUUUAAGAACAAUCCAUUCUAUAAGUCAAUUUAAUCCUUAUUCUCUUUGAGUUGUGAAUUAGUCAGUUUGUAGUUAUUUGAUAAAGGAUUUGCUACAGGGAUUUACAUCUUAUAUAUACCAGUUCAAGGUGCUUGGGGCACGGUGGACUACCUUGCAGCAUUAACAGUUUAUAUUCUCAAUGAAAUAUUUUUAGCUGAAUUUCCUAUAUCUUUUUAUUGUUAUUACUUGCACAAUCUUACUUUGUUAUUAGUUUAAAUGUGGUGUCCCCUUACUCUAUACUGUAAAUUUAGAGUAAAUGGGUAGCACAUAUAAACUGCUUUCAUAAUAAGAUUGUGUUAGUAAAAGUAAGAACACAUUUUGUUAUGUAUUAAUGAUUUGUACUUCAUGUAGAAAUAACUACAGGUAUGUUCCUAAUAUAGGUCAAUAUUGUUAGGUCUGUUAUAGUACCAGUAAGUACCAUUACAUUCCAAAUCUUUGUAAAGCUCAACUAGAAUAAUUGUGUUAUUAUAACCUUUCAUUGUAUGCAUUGUAGACUCUUGUAACCAUGUCAUAGAGUUUUAUUUUUUUUUUGCAUUUUAUUUGCUGGAGUAAUGUAGACUUGGAUAAAUUACAAAAAUACAAUGUAUAUUUUUUUUUUCCAAUGAAGGAAUCAAAUGGCAAAAUCAUAUUUGUGUGUUAAGUUCCAUUCUUGUGUGAGGUUUAAAUUAUUCAUAUACCAUUAAAAGUUGGGGAAAAAGUAUCUAGAUAUUUUUUUUUCUUGUAUAUCAGAAAAACCAACAGGAAAUUUCUUCUAAAGAUCAUCAUGUGAGGUCAUGAGGAUGCAAAAAGACACUGGUAAAAGAUACUGGUAAAAGCCAAUUACAUAUUGUACAGUUAUGUACCAGAAACAAAUAAAACA